RNAcentral lists this ribosomal RNA (615 nucleotides) under Acinetobacter baumannii Naval-81. Its description in RNAcentral is "bacterial SSU rRNA". It matches the Rfam family "Bacterial small subunit ribosomal RNA", at positions 55 to 664 of the family's 1533-position model. Lineage: Bacteria; Pseudomonadati; Pseudomonadota; Gammaproteobacteria; Moraxellales; Moraxellaceae. The record is from RNAcentral.
AUGCAAGUCGAGCGGGGGAAGGUAGCUUGCUACCGGACCUAGCGGCGGACGGGUGAGUAAUGCUUAGGAAUCUGCCUAUUAGUGGGGGACAACAUCUCGAAAGGGAUGCUAAUACCGCAUACGUCCUACGGGAGAAAGCAGGGGAUCUUCGGACCUUGCGCUAAUAGAUGAGCCUAAGUCGGAUUAGCUAGUUGGUGGGGUAAAGGCCUACCAAGGCGACGAUCUGUAGCGGGUCUGAGAGGAUGAUCCGCCACACUGGGACUGAGACACGGCCCAGACUCCUACGGGAGGCAGCAGUGGGGAAUAUUGGACAAUGGGGGGAACCCUGAUCCAGCCAUGCCGCGUGUGUGAAGAAGGCCUUAUGGUUGUAAAGCACUUUAAGCGAGGAGGAGGCUACUUUAGUUAAUACCUAGAGAUAGUGGACGUUACUCGCAGAAUAAGCACCGGCUAACGCUGUGCCAGCAGCCGCGGUAAUACAGAGGGUGCGAGCGUUAAUCGGAUUUACUGGGCGUAAAGCGUGCGUAGGCGGCUUAUUAAGUCGGAUGUGAAAUCCCCGAGCUUAACUUGGGAAUUGCAUUCGAUACUGGUGAGCUAGAGUAUGGGAGAGGAUGGUAG